AAUUACCCUUCUGAGCCCAGCUCUCCUACUUAAGCUCUGGAAACAAUCCUGCUAUUCCGGACCGUGGCUCUGGCCAUUUUCCUCUCAUUUUUCCUCUAACCCUAUCCUUUCUGCAGGAUUGUCCAUCAGCAGUGGCCAGGAAUUGGAAAUGACCGAGACGUCCAUCAACUGAUAGGUAGAUAAUGAAGAUGUGGUGCAUCAACACAGUGGAAUAUUAUUUGGGCGUAAAGAAAAAUGAAAUUGUACUGUCCAUAGAUUACUACAACUUCAUCAGAGAAGCUUCUUUUUGGAGGAGAUGGCAAUGGAUGCAGAGAUCCACAACUAGUCAAUAUGCAGAGAUCUGGGACCGGAACUCAGGAGGUGGCACCACCACAUUCUUGUCUCUGGCAAUAUUCUCACAGACAUGCCUAGAGGCGUGUUCCCCGGGGCAUUCCGAAUCCAGUUGACCGUGAAGAUGAAUCGUGACAGAACCCUACAGAGUUCUUGGCCUCUCUCCAUGGGCUGAAAUUAUGUGCCGAGCAUCUGUUCCUUUGAGAAAGGCCUCGUGGAUGACCCCUCACCAAGAGUCUAAUUUAUCUGGAGACUCCAGAAUGGCACAGCCACACCCACUGGCAACAGCGAGUGUCAUGAACCAGCCUGACACGGUCCAACCAAGCUGAGGGGAUUGUUACAACUGCUGUCUUUCUGUCUCUGACUUUUGGUCUUGCAUUAUGAUUCGAUUUAUGUC
Non-coding RNA from Rattus norvegicus (Norway rat), 727 nucleotides. The record is from RefSeq and is a predicted model, not a curated record. Lineage: Eukaryota; Metazoa; Chordata; Mammalia; Rodentia; Muridae.